ACGAACGCUGGCGGCGUGCUUAACACCUGCAAGUCGAACGGAAAGGCCCUGCUUUUGUGGGGUGCUCGAGUGGCGAACGGGUGAGUAACACGUGAGUAACCUGCCCUUGACUUUGGGAUAACUUCAGGAAACUGGGGCUAAUACCGGAUAGGAGCUCCUGCUGCAUGGUGGGGGUUGGAAAGUUUCGGCGGUUGGGGAUGGACUCGCGGCUUAUCAGCUUGUUGGUGGGGUAGUGGCUUACCAAGGCUUUGACGGGUAGCCGGCCUGAGAGGGUGACCGGCCACAUUGGGACUGAGAUACGGCCCAGACUCCUACGGGAGGCAGCGGUGGGGAAUAUUGCACAAUGGGCGGAAGCCUGAUGCAGCAACGCCGCGUGCGGGAUGACGGCCUUCGGGUUGUAAACCGCUUUCGCCUGUGACGAAGCGUGAGUGACGGUAAUGGGUAAAGAAGCACCGGCUAACUACGUG
This 467-nucleotide ribosomal RNA is filed under the name uncultured bacterium. RNAcentral's name for it is "partial 16S ribosomal RNA". It matches the Rfam family "Bacterial small subunit ribosomal RNA", at positions 29 to 507 of the family's 1533-position model. The record is from RNAcentral.